Molecule: ribosomal RNA, 397 nt
Filed under: uncultured bacterium
Lineage: Bacteria
Description: partial 16S ribosomal RNA
Rfam family: Bacterial small subunit ribosomal RNA
Source: RNAcentral
AUGCGUAGGUGGCAAGCGUUGUCCGGAUUUAUUGGGCGUAAAGCGAGCGCAGGCGGUUUCUUAAGUCUGAUGUGAAAGCCCCCGGCUCAACCGGGGAGGGUCAUUGGAAACUGGGAGACUUGAGUGCAGAAGAGGAGAGUGGAAUUCCAUGUGUAGCGGUGAAAUGCGUAGAUAUAUGGAGGAACACCAGUGGCGAAGGCGACUCUCUGGUCUGUAACUGACGCUGAGGCUCGAAAGCGUGGGGAGCAAACAGGAUUAGAUACCCUGGUAGUCCACGCCGUAAACGAUGAGUGCUAAGUGUUGGAGGGUUUCCGCCCUUCAGUGCUGCAGCUAACGCAUUAAGCGCUCCGCCUGGGGAGUACGACCGCAAGGUUGAAACUUAAAGGAAUUGACGGGG